GACGAACGCCUUCGGCGUGCUUAACACAUGCAAGUCGAACGGAAAGGCCCUGCUUUUGUGGGGUGCUCGAGUGGCGAACGGGUGAGUAACACGUGAGUAACCUGCCCUUGACUUUGGGAUAACUUCAGGAAACUGGGGCUAAUACCGGAUAGGAGCUCCUGCUGCAUGGUGGGGGUUGGAAAGUUUCGGCGGUUGGGGAUGGACUCGCGGCUUAUCAGCUUGUUGGUGGGGUAGUGGCUUACCAAGGCUUUGACGGGUAGCCGGCCUGAGAGGGUGACCGGCCACAUUGGGACUGAGAUACGGCCCAGACUCCUACGGGAGGCAGCAGUGGGGAAUAUUGCACAAUGGGCGGAAGCCUGAUGCAGCAACGCCGCGUGCGAGAUGACGGCCUUCGGGUUGUAAACCGCUUUCGCCUGUGACGAAGCGUGAGUGACGGUAAUGGGUAAAGAAGCACCGGCUAACUACGUGCCAGCAGCCGCGGUGAUACGUAGGGUGCGAGCGUUGUCCGGAUUUAUUGGGCGUAAAGGGCUCGUAGGUGGUUGAUCGCGUCGGAAGUGUAAUCUUGGGGCUUAACCCUGAGCGUGCUUUCGAUACGGGUUGACUUGAGGAAGGUAGGGGAGAAUGGAAUUCCUGGUGGAGCGGUGGAAUGCGCAGAUAUCAGGAGGAACACCAGUGGCGAAGGCGGUUCUCUGGGCCUUUCCUGACGCUGAGGAGCGAAAGCGUGGGGAGCGAACAGGCUUAGAUACCCUGGUAGUCCACGCUGUAAACGGUGGGUACUAGGUGUGGGGUCCAUUCCACGGGUUCCGUGCCGUAGCUAACGCUUUAAGUACCCCGCCUGGGGAGUACGGCCGCAAGGCUAAAACUCAAAGGAAUUGACGGGGCCCCGCACAAGCGGCGGAGCAUGCGGAUUAAUUCGAUGCAACGCGUAGAGCCUUACCUGGGUUUGACAUGGAUCGGGAGUGCUCAGAGAUGGGUGUGCCUCUUUUGGGGUCGGUUCACAGGUGGUGCAUGCCUGUCGUCAGCUCGUGUCGUGAGAUGUUGGGUUAAGUCCCGCAACGAGCGCAACCCUUGUUCACUGUUGCCAGCACGUUAUGGUGGGGACUCAGUGGAGACCGCCGGGGUCAACUCGGAGGAAGGUGGGGAUGACGUCAAGUCAUCAUGCCCCUUAUGUCCAGGGCUUCACGCAUGCUACAAUGGCUGGUACAGAGAGUGGCGAGCCUGUGAGGGUGAGCGAAUCUCGGAAAGCCGGUCUCAGUUCGGAUUGGGGUCUGCAACUCGACCUCAUGAAGUCGGAGUCGCUAGUAAUCGCAGAUCAGCAACGCUGCGGUGAAUACGUUCCCGGGGCU
Molecule: ribosomal RNA, 1346 nt
Filed under: uncultured bacterium
Lineage: Bacteria
Description: partial 16S ribosomal RNA
Rfam family: Bacterial small subunit ribosomal RNA
Source: RNAcentral